AACGAACGCUGGCGGCAUGCCUAACACAUGCAAGUCGAACGAGACCUUCGGGUCUAGUGGCGCACGGGUGCGUAACGCGUGGGAACCUGCCCUUAGGUUCGGAAUAACUCCCCGAAAGGGGUGCUAACACCGGAUAAUGUCUUCGGACCAAAGAUUUAUCGCCUUUGGAUGGGCCCGCGUUGGAUUAGCUAGUUGGUAGGGUAAAAGCCUACCAAGGCGACGAUCCAUAGCUGGUCUGAGAGGAUGAUCAGCCACACUGGGACUGAGACACGGCCCAGACUCCUACGCGAGGCAGCAGUGGGGAAUAUAGAACAAUGGGCCAAAGCCUGACACAGCCAUGCCGCGGGAGUGAUGAGGGCCUUAGGGUUGUAAAGCUCUUUUACCCGGGAUGAUAAUGACAGUACCGGGAGAAUAAGCACCGGCUAACUCCGUG
RNAcentral lists this ribosomal RNA (433 nucleotides) under uncultured bacterium. RNAcentral describes it as "partial 16S ribosomal RNA". It matches the Rfam family "Bacterial small subunit ribosomal RNA", at positions 29 to 507 of the family's 1533-position model. The record is from RNAcentral.